CACCACCUACCGGCCGCAUGGCACCCAUGGCCGUCCUUUUCCUCCUGAUAUGAUGGUCACGAUGGCCGAGGUGACGCUGGGUUCAGCUGGGGGCACCACCAGCGAGCUGACGCCGCCGGGAGCUGCUGGAGGCAUCGCCGGCGGCAGCGAGCUGACGCCGCCGGGACCUGCUGGAGACAUCGCUGGCGGCAAGACGACGACCCCGGGAUCUGGUGGAGGAACCGCCAACGAGCUCACGCCAGGAUCCGCUGGAGGAAGUGCCACUACGACCGCUGGUGUCGCCACUUUGCUCCAGCAGGAGCUAUCGCUACUUGAUCUCGGAAGCAAUUGCUCCGUCGACUGCAUGAGGUGCCUUUUUUUCACCAUCGUGCCCUGCUUUGCUGAUGGAAUUAUCUGUUUGGACCCAUUGGUCGUGGCCAUGUGCUUCAUCGAGAACAUCGACCUCGUUGAGAACUGCUUCGGCACCGGCGAGGGCAGCGCCAGCGGCGAGCGCAAGCUGACGACCCCGGGAUCUGCUGGAGGACCAGCUAGCGAGCUGAUGCCGGGAUUAGCUGGGGCAAGUGCCACUACGGCAUUGCCCCGGCAGGAGUUGGGCCUACUUGAUGAUAUUGGGAGGAACUGCUCCAACGACUGCAAGGACUGCCUCCUUAACAGCAUCGGCUCCUGCGCUAUUGGUGGAAUCAUAUGUGGCACUCCUUGGGGCGUCUUCACGUGCCUCAUCCAGAGGUUCAGCAUCAUUGUGGGAUGCUUCGGCACCAAGCCAACCUAGUUGUUGACUAAGCUUUGUAAUACUGUGAAGUAGAUGAUAAUGGAUCUUGCAUCUACAUCAGGUAACAUUCACAUAUAUUGUACCCACAUGCAUUGCUUCUUGAUGUAUGGGCAGGCAGUACCCAGCCGUGUUUGUAGCUUCAAUUUUUAGUUUAUAUUACGUGUAUGUGUAAUCUCCAGUACUGUAUGUGGCAUCAUCGAUUAAAAUUAAAUAAAGAGAUGUAGUAUAUUUUACCAUUUGAC
RNAcentral lists this long non-coding RNA (1011 nucleotides) under Setaria viridis. Its description in RNAcentral is "long non-coding RNA (SVIR_LNC007530)". The record is from RNAcentral. Lineage: Eukaryota; Viridiplantae; Streptophyta; Magnoliopsida; Poales; Poaceae.